ACGAACGCUGGCGGCGUGCCUAACACAUGCAAGUCGUAACGGUAACUUUUUAAAGAUUUCUUCGGAAUGAAUUUGAUUAAGUUAGUGGCGGACGGGUGAGUAACGCGUGAGUAACCUGCCUCUAAGAGGGGAAUAACAUUCUGAAAAGAAUGCUAAUACCGCAUAACAUAUAUUUAUCGCAUGGUAGAUAUAUCAAAGAUUUAUCGCUUAGAGAUGGACUCGCGUCCGAUUAGUUAGUUGGUGAGGUAACGGCUCACCAAGACCGCGAUCGGUAGCCGGACUGAGAGGUUGAACGGCCACAUUGGGACUGAGACACGGCCCAGACUCCUACGGGAGGCAGCAGUGGGGGAUAUUGCGCAAUGGGGGAAACCCCUGACGCAGCAACGCCGCGUGAAGGAUGAAGGUCUUCGGAUUGUAAACUUCUUUUAUUAAGGACGAAGAAAGUGACGGUACUUAAUGAAUAAGCUCCGGCUAACUACGUG
This 482-nucleotide ribosomal RNA is filed under the name uncultured bacterium. RNAcentral's name for it is "bacterial SSU rRNA". It matches the Rfam family "Bacterial small subunit ribosomal RNA", at positions 29 to 507 of the family's 1533-position model. The record is from RNAcentral.